ACACACUCUCUCUCUCUCUCCUCUGCAUCACCGUUUUCCAUCAACCUCUCUAUCAAACACAAACACUCUCCCCACUCGUUCCUCCCACGCAUCACAUCACAUUCACAUUCUUCAAACUUUAUCUCCCUUCUCAAAUCAAUAAACCCAAACUUGCAUUAAUUCAAUACAACAAAUCCAAGAAACAAACAUACCCCACAUACAACAACGACCACUUUACCUUAUUUAAUCACCACCACCCACACAUCUUUCCAUUUCUCAUCUUGGGUUAUCACUCAUUUCCAUUUACUUCACAUACACGCAAUCAAAAUCCAACCUUUUCAUAUCUCUCCUAUGUAACUGUUUCCAAAUUCUAA
This is a non-coding RNA of Vicia faba (fava bean), 353 nucleotides long. Lineage: Eukaryota; Viridiplantae; Streptophyta; Magnoliopsida; Fabales; Fabaceae. The record is from the annotation of a GenBank genome assembly.